GGGGCUGUGGCGCAGUGGGAGCGCAUUUGUCUGGCAGACAAAGGGUCGCGGGUUCAAAUCCCGCCAGCUCCACCA
This 75-nucleotide transfer RNA is filed under the name Candidatus Coatesiibacteriota bacterium. Its description in RNAcentral is "Candidatus Coatesbacteria bacterium tRNA-Ala". It matches the Rfam family "tRNA". From Rfam's summary of the family: Transfer RNA (tRNA) molecules are approximately 80 nucleotides in length. Their secondary structure includes four short double-helical elements and three loops (D, anti-codon, and T loops). The record is from RNAcentral. Lineage: Bacteria; Candidatus Coatesiibacteriota. RNAcentral also lists the same sequence under 1 other name.